ACUAAGCCAUGCGAGUCGAGAGGUUCAAGACCUCGGCGUACUGCUCAGUAACACGUGGACAAUCUGCCCUGAAGUGGAGGAUAAUCCCGGGAAACUGGGGGUAAUACUCCAUAGUUCGUGCUGACUGGAAUGUUAUGCGAACGAAAGAUCCGUCGCUUCAGGAUGAGUCUGCGGCCGAUUAGGUAGUUGUUGGGGUAACGGCCCAACAAGCCUGUCAUCGGUACGGGUUGUGGGAGCAAGAGCCCGGAGAUGGAUUCUGAGACACGAAUCCAGGCCCUACGGGGCGCAGCAGGCGCGAAAACUUUACCAUGCGGGCAACCGUGAUAAGGAAGCCCCGAGUGCCAGCACAGGCUGGCUGUCCGCCAGUGUAAAUAACUGGUGAAGAAAGGGCCGGGCAAGACCGGUGCCAGCCGCCGCGGUAAUACCGGCGGCUCGAGUGGUGGCCGCUAUUACUGGGCUUAAAGGGUCCGUAGCUGGAUGUACAAGUCCCUUGAGAAAUCCG
This 502-nucleotide ribosomal RNA is filed under the name methanogenic archaeon F1/P-1. RNAcentral's name for it is "bacterial SSU rRNA". It matches the Rfam family "Archaeal small subunit ribosomal RNA", at positions 43 to 553 of the family's 1478-position model. Lineage: Archaea; Methanobacteriati; Methanobacteriota. The record is from RNAcentral.